Molecule: ribosomal RNA, 238 nt
Filed under: uncultured bacterium
Lineage: Bacteria
Description: partial 16S ribosomal RNA
Rfam family: Bacterial small subunit ribosomal RNA
Source: RNAcentral
CGUGACCAACCUGCCUCAUGCAUCGGGAUAACUGCUGGAAACGGCAGCUAAUACCGGAUACUCUUGCAACUUCGCAUGGAGAUGCAAGGAAAGCUUUCGCGGCAUGAGAUGGGGUCGCGGCCCAUUAGGUAGACGGUGAGGUAGUGGCUCACCGUGCCUGCGAUGGGUAGCCGGACUGAGAGGUCGAUCGGCCACAUUGGGACUGAGAUACGGCCCAGACUCCUACGGGAGGCAGCAG